RNAcentral lists this ribosomal RNA (253 nucleotides) under uncultured bacterium. RNAcentral's name for it is "partial 16S ribosomal RNA". It matches the Rfam family "Bacterial small subunit ribosomal RNA", at positions 524 to 776 of the family's 1533-position model. The record is from RNAcentral.
GACAGAGGGUGCAAACGUUGUUCGGAUUUACUGGGCGUAAAGCGUGUGUAGGCGGCUUGGCAAGUUGGAUGUGAAAGCCCACGGCUCAACCGUGGAAGCGCAUUCAAAACUGCUUCGCUCGAGUCUCGGAGAGGAAGGUGGAAUGCUUGGUGUAGAGGUGAAAUUCGUAGAUAUCAAGCAGAACACCUGCGGCGAAGGCGGCCUUCUGGACGAUGACUGACGCUGAGACACGAAAGCGUGGGGAGCAAACAGG